AUUGAACGCUGGCGGCAGGCCUAACACAUGCAAGUCGAGCGGAUGAAGGGAGCUUGCUCCUGGAUUCAGCGGCGGACGGGUGAGUAAUGCCUAGGAAUCUGCCUGGUAGUGGGGGAUAACGUCCGGAAACGGGCGCUAAUACCGCAUACGUCCUGAGGGAGAAAGUGGGGGAUCUUCGGACCUCACGCUAUCAGAUGAGCCUAGGUCGGAUUAGCUAGUUGGUGGGGUAAAGGCCUACCAAGGCGACGAUCCGUAACUGGUCUGAGAGGAUGAUCAGUCACACUGGAACUGAGACACGGUCCAGACUCCUACGGGAGGCAGCAGUGGGGAAUAUUGGACAAUGGGCGAAAGCCUGAUCCAGCCAUGCCGCGUGUGUGAAGAAGGUCUUCGGAUUGUAAAGCACUUUAAGUUGGGAGGAAGGGCAGUAAGUUAAUACCUUGCUGUUUUGACGUUCCAACAGAAUAAGCACCGGCUAGCUUCGUG
This 483-nucleotide ribosomal RNA is filed under the name uncultured bacterium. RNAcentral's name for it is "partial 16S ribosomal RNA". It matches the Rfam family "Bacterial small subunit ribosomal RNA", at positions 30 to 507 of the family's 1533-position model. The record is from RNAcentral.